Molecule: long non-coding RNA, 631 nt
Filed under: Capsella rubella
Lineage: Eukaryota; Viridiplantae; Streptophyta; Magnoliopsida; Brassicales; Brassicaceae
Description: long non-coding RNA (CRUB_LNC000956)
Source: RNAcentral
GGUUGAAGAUAGAUACCUUUGGGAUUAUCCUUGCUUACAAAUGCAAUCUUAUUUUCACCCUGUAAGCUCCAACGGACUAAUUCUAGCUAGAUGUGGCUCGGCUUCUCCGUAUGUCUUCAACCCUAUAAGAAAAGAGGUUAUGAAGAUACCAGAACAGGAAGACGAAAGUUCAUGGAAACAGCCUCUAGGAUUCGGAUAUGAUCCCAAAGGAAAGACUCACAAGGUCAUUAGUGUUUGGCAAACACAAGAGCAAGAGCUUGUGGCUGAAGUAUUCGACCUGAGGGGAGCAUACUCAAAAUGGAGGAGCUUAGACAUCUCCACUUCCGCCUCAGUUCUUCCUCUCGGCAAUGUUUGUUUUUCUUCUUCCACUGUGACCAUUAGUGGAUAUGUUUACUGGACGGCCACUAUAAGCGAUGUGAGUGUCUAACAGUCUAAGUAAUAACUUGGGCCUUUAUAUAUCAUCACUUAUAAUAUGUUGGUCCGAGACACUCACUGUUAGUCUAGAAGCAGUCGGUUUGAGUGUUUCUUGGGCCGAGACUUUAUAUCAUGUUAUGAUCUCGGGAUCUGAGGGAAUAUACCUUAUAAACCCAAAACCUCUGAGUUUAUCAAAAAUAAUUAAAUUAAAGUUGUC